Molecule: long non-coding RNA, 495 nt
Filed under: Mytilus galloprovincialis (Mediterranean mussel)
Lineage: Eukaryota; Metazoa; Mollusca; Bivalvia; Mytilida; Mytilidae
Source: RNAcentral
CCGCAAAUUUUGAUAAAGAUUUUCGGUAAUAUCGCAAAUUAGGAUGUUUGACACAUAAACAACUAGUUUUAAAUAAAAACAAAAUCCCGGAAUGGGCUUUAUUAUUCGUUAUUCGAUAAAACUGGAUUUGGUAUUUGUAUAUAAUAUGUCGGUAUUCAAACAGAUAUAAUAAAUCAUCGGCUGCCCACAAUUGGCUAUCAGAAACACCGUUGAAUCUUGUGAUCAAAAUUUACUCCUAUGUAAGAGAGUACCUACUUAUUUUUAAACUGUAUACACGCUUUACGACAGAGGGUCUGGGCCGAAUAAUAAUAUAAUAUUUGAAGAUUAUUUUCUUCUAUAUAUCAACAAAUUUGUUAUGACUUUUUGUCUGUGACUUUUUAUCCGUUUACUAAACUUCUACUGGUAAACAUAAAAUCUGUUACUAAUGCAUGAAUGCCGAAAUACUGCACUACAUUUAUCUGACAAUAUCUUUCAACCAGGCUUUGAACGAAAUAG